This 208-nucleotide long non-coding RNA is filed under the name Sorghum bicolor (sorghum). RNAcentral's name for it is "long non-coding RNA (SBIC_LNC012510)". Lineage: Eukaryota; Viridiplantae; Streptophyta; Magnoliopsida; Poales; Poaceae. The record is from RNAcentral.
GACAGAUCCUAAUGGUUUUGAAGGUAAAAAGAAGAACAAAGAAAAAAAGGGGAGAGAAGAAUAUUCAGUAAAAUAAAUUGUGGAUGAACAGGGAUAUGAUAAAAGUACGAGAGGUAGGGUGAAGAACUAACCUCAGGAACGGUGAAGUUGAUGGCCAUCUCCUCACAAAAAGGGUGAUCGAAGGCUUCGAGGUUGGUGAAGAAGGGGC